This is a long non-coding RNA of Mytilus trossulus (common blue mussel), 667 nucleotides long. RefSeq lists it as uncharacterized. The transcript has 2 exons. The record is from RefSeq and is a predicted model, not a curated record. Lineage: Eukaryota; Metazoa; Mollusca; Bivalvia; Mytilida; Mytilidae.
GGUUAAGUGUCAAGACCCAGAAAAUGGGCAGUUUACAGAAGAACAAACGUCAUCUGGCUAUAGCUUUCCGGAUACGGUAACAUACUCUUGUAUAUUUGGAUAUGAAGUACAGUCUGGUGAUCUCGAACGUUCAUGCCAAGCUGAUGGAACAUGGAGUGGAAAUGCUCCAGUGUGUAAAAUGACCGUAGACUAUUUUUGUGAGGCUCUUUUGGAAACAUUGGAAAGCAAAGGAAAAUCCAAGGAGAGAUCGGCCGAAAGUCCUGAUGAAAGCUCUGAGAUUGAUACCCGGGGAAAAGGUAAAGACAAUGGCAAAUGGAAAGGAAAUUGGAGGAAAGGAAGAAGAUGUGGUUACUAUAAAGCACUCGAAGCUUUGAUAGCAGAAACAUGCCUACUGUCAUAAGGCUCAGCUCCUGUCGAACCCAAUUUUGUGUAUAACUUACUUACUUGUAACUAUUCAAAAGCUUUACGAUUGAAAAAAGAAUUACGACAACACCCUAAUGUAUUACUCUUCAUUGGUUUACAUUGAUGUACAUUAAAAAAUAUAUACCUGUAGAUUAUGAUACUUUUUACAUUGUCUAAAUUUCUCACGAAGUGUACUAACUGAAUUGUAGUGGUUAUAAAAACAUGUUUAUCUAUCAAUAAAUUAAUAUCAUGUUGAACGGGUUGA